RNAcentral lists this long non-coding RNA (216 nucleotides) under Struthio camelus australis. Its description in RNAcentral is "lncRNA (ENSSCUG00000000297.1)". Lineage: Eukaryota; Metazoa; Chordata; Aves; Struthioniformes; Struthionidae. The record is from RNAcentral.
GCCAUCUCUCGUGUAUGACCUCUGAGGAGCUCCUCUUUGUUAUCUGCUCUGCCACCAGAAUGAUUUGAUAGAGCACCAAUGCUUUUCAGAGGGUGCCUCAUUAGUGAACCGUGGCACAGAUCAGGCCUCAGCAACAAAGAUUUGAGAUACUGGAGCGCAGCCCAUGAGUUGGGAGUGGAGGAAAGGAAAAGCUGCAGCUUGGCUUCUUCUCUCUGA